ACGACGCUGGCGGCGUGCCUAACACAUGCAAGUCGAACGGACUUUUUUAAAAGAUUUCUUCGGAAUGAAUUUGAUUAAGUUUAGUGGCGGACGGGUGAGUAACGCGUGAGUAACCUGCCUCUAAGAGGGGGAAUAACAUUCUGAAAAGAAUGCUAAUACCGCAUAACAUAUAUUUAUCGCAUGGUAGAUAUAUCAAAGAUUUAUCGCUUAGAGAUGGACUCGCGUCCGAUUAGUUAGUUGGUGAGGUAACGGCUCACCAAGACCGCGAUCGGUAGCCGGACUGAGAGGUUGAACGGCCACAUUGGGACUGAGACACGGCCCAGACUCCUACGGGAGGCAGCAGUGGGGGAUAUUGCGCAAUGGGGAAACCCUGACGCAGCAACGCCGCGUGAAGGAUGAAGGUCUUCGGAUUGUAAACUUCUUUUAUUAAGGACGAAGAAAGUGACGGUACUUAAUGAAUAAGCUCCGGCUAACUACGUG
RNAcentral lists this ribosomal RNA (480 nucleotides) under uncultured bacterium. Its description in RNAcentral is "bacterial SSU rRNA". It matches the Rfam family "Bacterial small subunit ribosomal RNA", at positions 32 to 507 of the family's 1533-position model. The record is from RNAcentral.